GUGCUUGCCUCGGCAGCAUAUACACUAAUAUUGGAAUGAUAUAGAGAAGAUCAGCAUGGCCCCUGUGCAAGGAUGACAUGCAAGUUCAUAAAGCGUUCCACAUUUUU
This is a small nuclear RNA of Aethalodelphis obliquidens (Pacific white-sided dolphin), 107 nucleotides long. NCBI's taxonomy places the organism in Eukaryota, Metazoa, Chordata, Mammalia, Artiodactyla, Delphinidae. The record is from RefSeq and is a predicted model, not a curated record.